CUGCUACUGGGCAACAUGAGUUGGAAUUCCUUGCCCUAAGUAUAAGCCACCAGUGUUGGCCACUAUCAUCUGGAGCCAGGGCUCCGGCAGAGUGGAAGAUUUAUUUAAGGGCUGAUGAAGACAGAGACUGGGUCUGAGAGCCCUGGGAUUGUUCUGAUUCCCCUCCAAUUGCUACCACCUAUUGCUUCUACCAAGGUUUCACUCUUCCUCCUUGUCUACUGCAUCACAGAACAGCAGUCUUGGCUUUUCUCCUUUGUUCCCAUAUCUGCUGUAAAGACCAAGCCAGGACCCUAGAUAUGGCUACUGAGUAAAUGGCAUGGAGCAUGAAGAUGCUACCAAAGAAACCAGUACACUGGGCCUGAGAGAACCCCACCAAUAACAGGGGAUGGUUUACUCUCCCCUUCUCUUUUCAGUAUUCUUUUCUCUCUGCUUUAUGAUGUUUUCAUUCAUUCAUAUGUAAUAUAUAAUCUCUAAACCCAACAUUUAUAGGUUUACCAUAUACCAA
Long non-coding RNA from Sapajus apella (tufted capuchin), 505 nucleotides. RefSeq lists it as uncharacterized. The record is from RefSeq and is a predicted model, not a curated record. NCBI's taxonomy places the organism in Eukaryota, Metazoa, Chordata, Mammalia, Primates, Cebidae. The transcript has 3 exons.